UUUUCAAAAGUGUGGGCAUUGCAAGAAUAUAUUAUAUAUAUAUUAAAUGGGCGGAAAAGCUUUCUUUUACCUGUUACAUACUUUUGGACUCAACGGGUAUAUGUAUAUAGAUACUGUUAAGCAAAUGAUGUACGCACUAUUAUACAAGAACACGAUAAAAGAAGAAACCUCUAAUUCUUUCCUUAUUAUAGUCUCUGCCUUUUAAAAAUAUUCAAAAGCAGCUAAAUAAAAUCGACCAAUCCAACAUAAAGCUCUGAAACAACUGGUUAUGGGUAAAUUAUUUUUAUAAAAUAUAUAGGUCUGUUGAUAAUUAAUGAUAUCAAGAAAUGGCCUUUAAGUGAGGAGAGAACUCACAGAACCUAGUUAAAACCCAUAUGGAAACGCACAAGCAAAUAAAAUCUUUUUUUAAAAUUAAAGAAAAUAAGGGUCAGACUAAGUGGUACGGUCAUUAAUACCGCUGACUAACCGAUCUACCGAAAACCGCAUAUAAAAAAGGAAUCUAGCAAUCAUGGCUAUUAAUACAAGUAUGUUAAUUCGUAAGAGUAGUUUCUAUAAUUAUCUUUUAGGCACACUACAAAAUAAAACUACAACUAGUAAUGCUUAUAAGGUAUACUAAUAUAAGGUAUAUAUACUUGUAAGAGAACACACUAUCACCAUUGAAUAGACAAUAGACACUUUAUUACAUUCAUAAAAAAACAUUCAAAGAAAUGUAUUUCGUACAUAUGCUAUCAUACAAGUGUUUUUACUUAUUUCACAAAGGCGCACGAUACCCUAGUGACCAACUGCUGCUACAUAGCCAAAUCGCUAUAGAUAGACACAAAUGAUUUCGUGUCUCACUAACACUAAUACUAAGGUGAUCAAAUCGAUCCCUACGAGCUAAACAACGAACAGAAAAAACGGUCCGUCAGCCAAUAGACACACUAGAAGUCAGCAAUUAAUGUCAAAGGGAAAAGCUAAAUGUUCAAUGUGUCGCAGUCAAAGUCAAAACUGACCUUUGUGAAUCGGCAUUGCGUUAAUCUAUUGUCCACCAAAUUUUUAACGUACUGCUGACGAUUUCGAUGAACUUUUUGACUACCUGGGAUUAUUAUCGUCUCUGGAAGUCUCUAGGCUCAACCCCCUGCGGACUUUGUUCACAGUUCAAAUGUCCAGGUCCUUGCUACUGGAGAGCACACGCAUUAUCCACACAGCCAAAGAACAAUGGCUUUGCUGUCUAUAAAGGGAUUCGGAAUGAGUGUAUCCUAACAACUGAAAGUCUUGAGCUUAAUUCUGAUCACAUUCCAUUAUUCAUAUAACAAGAGAGAAUACUAUAGUCGAGUUCCCCGACUACCUGAUACCCGUUAUUCAGCUGGUGGAAGUGCGAAGGAGAAAUUCAACACUGACAGUUUUUGGCGGAGAAUUUUACAAGACUAAUAAAAAUAAGGAACAAACAUCAACUCAUUUUUCAAAUUUGUGGGCGUAGCAGAUUUGGGCGUGGUAAUAGAAUGGGUUAACAAGCUUGCGAUGCAUCUAUGUAUCUGGAAAUUGUAUGCUUAGAUUCAACUCUCUAGCUUCCAUAGUUACUGAAAUCUCGACGCUCAUACGGACGGACAGACAAAGAUGAUAGGAUAUUCCGUAACGCUGACCCCACCAAACCAAAGACAUUACAAUAACAAGAUGCGUAACGGCCAUACAUUGGUUUUGCACUAUGCAGCCACUUCUUUGGUGACGACCAAAAUUGCUCUCCUUUCGCUCGCCUAAAAUCGAGAGCGUUAAAAUCU
Molecule: long non-coding RNA, 1757 nt
Organism: Drosophila yakuba
Lineage: Eukaryota; Metazoa; Arthropoda; Insecta; Diptera; Drosophilidae
Exons: 2
Source: RefSeq, a predicted model, not a curated record